ACAGCCCCAGUUUUAGAGCUUCUCCCUGAAAGUUUGCUCAUUUCUCAUCUCUGGUGACAGAGGUAGAUCCAGCUGUUCCCGAGGAAGGAAAUCCAAACCUGCUGCAGCCGCUGUAGGUGGGAUCUGCUGCUUUGUGCUGGCUUCUGGGGCUCUCCCCUUGCCACCGGCUAGAUGCAGUUCAGCUCCUUCGGCAGCAGCGGUGCUUCCAGGCUGGUGCAGUUCCAUUAAACCACAGUUCAUCCAACCCCUGGGAGCACUUCUGCAGGUGCUGGGGCUCGGGGCAGGUGAGUGCAUGGGGUGCUGUGACCUCGCUUGUGGGAACGGCAGCGUGUGCUCAUUAAUGAGCCUGCUCAUGAGCAUCAGAUCUGAAAUGUGAAGCGACUCAAACAUGUUUCAUUUCUCUUCAGUGCUGGCAGGCUCAUACGGCUGCUGCGGGACUUGUUGGAGCGGUUUGUAGGGCUUCUCGUGUUCCUGCUACUGCAAGAAGUGAGCGCAAACCGGUGAGGCUGCUCCGAAGGGAAGGUUACAGCUCUGCUUCUUGGAAGGUGAAGCACUGAAGCAGGGAUUACCUGAACUAGCAGAGCCGAUGCUGCAGGUCAGCGCCACGAGAGCUCAGCCUCCCUCGUACCUCAUGGAGCAGCUCUGCAGAUCAGAAAGACUUUCCCCAACCUUGUGUGUCACGGUGCCCUGGGUGCCUUCUACCCCAUGGGAAACAACAAACAUGCAAAGGUCAUCCAGCUCUAGGGCAGCUCAGCUUGGACUGCUGGGCAUUGCUGGUUAUUGGAUUACUUGGAUUGCUGCUUAUCUCUGAAAUAUUUGUGGAAAUCUUACAACGAAUUUGUCCGGUUGUCAUCCAAAACAUCAGUCUGCCCUCAUCCAGCAACAGCAAAGGUCUGACCUGGGGUGUGAGCCCCAGGCUGAUUGCAUGAGCUCUGUAGUCUCCAGAGUUACUUAACACCUUUUUAAACCACUCUAUUUUAUCUUGUUUGUUUAGCUGCUCAACAGGAAGCUAGUUUGGGCUCUGGUGCAAUCUCCUAAUGUGCAGCCUUUGAAGAUGUGACUUUAAUGACAUUGACAUGUGUCAGGUGGGUUUAACACAACUUCUCUAAAUAGCUACUGCAUCAGAAAUAGCUGGGGCUCUUAGCAGCCACACUGCCUCAUACUCAGCUGCUGCUGUACAAAGUCAUGAAUGGCCUUCUGCAUUCUGAGUUAAAUGGGACUUUUUUCUGUAAUUAAAUGAAAUUCUGCUGGCAACUGAGUUUAGAAAAAUCAUAAGCUUUAUUCUUCAGACUAGAAUCACUUAAUGCUUAGACCUUGUUGUUGAUUUAAAGUUGAGAUUUAUUACAGUAACCUGAUACUUGGCUUCACUGUAUGUUCACUAAUAUACAAAUGCACAAAGUUUACACUUCACUGAAAAUUCUGAAUCUUGUCCUCUUUAUUUGUUAUGAGCAGAAGUACCUGGGUCCUG
RNAcentral lists this long non-coding RNA (1468 nucleotides) under Anas platyrhynchos platyrhynchos (common mallard). RNAcentral describes it as "lncRNA (ENSAPLG00000022354.1)". Lineage: Eukaryota; Metazoa; Chordata; Aves; Anseriformes; Anatidae. The record is from RNAcentral.